Molecule: long non-coding RNA, 770 nt
Filed under: Vigna radiata
Lineage: Eukaryota; Viridiplantae; Streptophyta; Magnoliopsida; Fabales; Fabaceae
Description: long non-coding RNA (VRAD_LNC016899)
Source: RNAcentral
UUCAAUUGUUAUCUGUGAGAAGAUCACAGCCUUCCCUCGAAUUAUUCUAAAUGAUUUGGAUUUUGGAUUGAAUAGUCAAACAGCCAAACCUCACUUCAUCAGCAUCAACAUCAAAUUCAGACUAUAAAUUAGAGUCCUUCUCGGAUGUCCAAAAUACCAAACUCUAAAUUGAAUAGUUCUCAAAAUUCUUUUUCCUAUAUCUCAAAAUCAUGUAAACCUCCCCUCCUCUCACAGCCCACCUUCUCCCAUCUUUUCUUUUCACAACCAUAACCAGUAAAUCCUAUUUUGUCUCUCCCUCUUUUUAUUCCUACUGCAUUUUUAUUUCUUUAAUACUAAACUCUUCCACACUAAUACAUUUCUCGUCACUCCAUUUCCUCAACUCAUCAACUCCAAAGUAGAAUAUUUCAACUGGGUCACAACAAUCUUUAGAAAAAACAUGAAAAGUAUUUGAAAGAAGUUAACCUUGAUUCUUCUUCGCCGCUUGUACCACCGCUGCUGUCAAAGUGUCAUUAAUUCUACUUUGUUCUGUCGUUCACCGUAUGUUGCCGUCCACCAUGCACCGUCGUCUGCUGUCGUCUGCCGUCGACUUUGUACUGCCGUCUGUCGUCGACCUACGGUUGCUACCUCUUAAGCAAGUGUUUGGUCAGAGAAUAAGUCAAUCUCGAAAAAGAAUAGCUUGAUGGGGCUACGGGACUUUAGAGUAGAAACUGAAAUAUUUGGGGGUUAGGGCUGACCCGACCCUAAUUAGAUCUCAACCCAUUUUUUGGGGG